CGGGUUCGCCCGCCGAUUGGACAAUUUAAACCAUUUGCAGUUGCAAUCAGCGUCUGAAAAAACAUAAUAGUUACAACUUUCAACAACGGAUCUCUUGGUUCUGGCAUCGAUGAAGAACGCAGCGAAAUGCGAUAAGUAGUGUGAAUUGCAGAAUUCAGUGAAUCAUCGAAUCUUUGAACGCACAUUGCGCCCCUUGGUAUUCCAUGGGGCAUGCCUGUUCGAGCGUCAUUUGUACCUUCAAGCUCUGCUUGGUGUUGGGUGUUUGUCUCGCCUCUGCGCGUAGACUCGCCUCAAAACAAUUGGCAGCCGGCGUAUUGAUUUCGGAGCGCAGUACAUCUCGCGCUUUGCAUUCAGAACGACGACGUCCAAAAGUACAUUUUUACACUCUUGACCUCGGAUCAGGUAGGG
RNAcentral lists this ribosomal RNA (408 nucleotides) under uncultured Peyronellaea. RNAcentral describes it as "eukaryotic LSU rRNA". The stretch from base 75 to 228 matches the Rfam family "5.8S ribosomal RNA". The record is from RNAcentral. Lineage: Eukaryota; Fungi; Ascomycota; Dothideomycetes; Pleosporales; Didymellaceae.